Molecule: ribosomal RNA, 913 nt
Filed under: Ara ararauna (blue-and-yellow macaw)
Lineage: Eukaryota; Metazoa; Chordata; Aves; Psittaciformes; Psittacidae
Description: partial 16S ribosomal RNA
Rfam family: Bacterial large subunit ribosomal RNA
Source: RNAcentral
ACCCAAAUGUAAUAGUUAAGGGCUAUUUAAAGGGGGUACAGCCCCUUUAAAAAAGGACACAACCUCCACCAGCGGAUAACCCCCGUACAUCCAACCCGGUGGGCCUUAAAGCAGCCACCCCCAAAGAUUGCGUCAAAGCUCCAUCAACUAAAAACCCCCAAAACCAAUGCGACUCCCUACAUCCACAGCAGGCCAACCUAUAACAAUAGAUGAAUUAAUGCUAGAACGAGUAACCAGGACACCACGUCCCCCCAAGCGCUAGCCUACACACCAUUAACAGCAAAACCUCAAUAAUAACUACCCCCACCGUUGAACACACCCUGUCAACCCAACUCAGGAGCGCACACUGGAGUGAUCAAAGUCUACAAAAGGAACUCGGCAAACCUAAGGCCCGACUGUUUACCAAAAACAUAGCCUUCAGCCAAACAAGUAUUGAAGGUGAUGCCUGCCCGGUGACAUCAUGUUUAACGGCCGCGGUAUCCUAACCGUGCAAAGGUAGCGCAAUCAAUUGUCCCAUAAAUCGAGACCUGUAUGAAUGGCUAAACGAGGCCUUAACUGUCUCCUGUAGACAAUCGGUGAAACUGAUCUCUCUGUACAAAAGCAGAGAUAAGCACAUAAGACGAGAAGACCCUGUGGAACUUCAAAAUCAAUAGCCACCCCACCCAACUCACUAGCCUACCUGGGCCCACCACCUAAGACACUGGCUAACAUUUUUAGGUUGGGGCGACCUUGGAGAAAAACAGACCCUCCAAAAACAGGGCCAAACCCCUAACUAAGAGCAACCCCUCAACGUGCCAACAGCACCCAGAUCCAGUAAAUCUGAUCAAUGGACCAAGCUACCCCAGGGAUAACAGCGCAAUCUCCCCCAAGAGCCCCUAUCGACGAGGAGGUUUACGACCUCGAUGUUGGAUCA